This 43-nucleotide transfer RNA is filed under the name Bronchocela shenlong. RNAcentral's name for it is "tRNA-Ala". Lineage: Eukaryota; Metazoa; Chordata; Lepidosauria; Squamata; Agamidae. The record is from RNAcentral.
CUAAAGCCUGAAAGUCCAACUCUCAUCUUCUGAAUGCAACUCA